Molecule: ribosomal RNA, 468 nt
Filed under: uncultured bacterium
Lineage: Bacteria
Description: partial 16S ribosomal RNA
Rfam family: Bacterial small subunit ribosomal RNA
Source: RNAcentral
GACGAACGCUGGCGGCGUGCUUAACACAUGCAAGUCGAACGGAAACGCCCUGCUUUUGUGGGGUGCUCGAGUGGCGAACGGGUGAGUAACACGUGAGUAACCUGCCCUUGACUUUGGGAUAACUUCAGGAAACUGGGGCUAAUACCGGAUAGGAGCUCCUGCUGCAUGGUGGGGGUUGGAAAGUUUCGGCGGUUGGGGAUGGACUCGCGGCUUAUCAGCUUGUUGGUGGGGUAGUGGCUUACCAAGGCUUUGACGGGUAGCCGGCCUGAGAGGGUGACCGGCCACAUUGGGACUGAGAUACGGCCCAGACUCCUACGGGAGGCAGCGGUGGGGAAUAUUGCACAAUGGGCGGAAGCCUGAUGCAGCAACGCCGCGUGCGGGAUGACGGCCUUCGGGUUGUAAACCGCUUUCGCCUGUGACGAAGCGUGAGUGACGGUAAUGGGUGAAGAAGCACCGGCUAACUACGUG